This 459-nucleotide ribosomal RNA is filed under the name uncultured bacterium. Its description in RNAcentral is "partial 16S ribosomal RNA". It matches the Rfam family "Bacterial small subunit ribosomal RNA", at positions 338 to 795 of the family's 1533-position model. The record is from RNAcentral.
CCUACGGGGGGCUGCAGUGAGGAAUAUUGGUCAAUGGCCGAGAGGCUGAACCAGCCAAGUCGCGUGAAGGACGACGGCCCUACGGGUUGUAAACCUCUUUUGUCAAGGAUCAAAGUGAGGCCCGUGUGACUCAUUGAGGGUACCCGAAGAAAAAGCAUCGGCUAACUCCGUGCCAGCAGCCGCGGUAAUACGGAGGAUGCGAGCGGUAUCCGGAUUUAUUGGGUUUAAGGGGUGCGUAGGCGGUGGGGUAAGUCAGCGGUAAAAUUGCGGGGCUCAACUCCGUACUGCCGUUGAAACUGGAUGUCUUGAGUGCGCGAGAAGUAUGCGGAAUGCGUGGUGUAGCGGUGAAAUGCAUAGAUAUCACGAAGAACUCCGAUUGCGAAGGCAGCAUACCGGCGCGAAACUGACGCUCAUGCACGAAAGCGUGGGUAUCGAACAGGAUUAGAUACCCCAGUAGUC